Molecule: ribosomal RNA, 403 nt
Filed under: Hyperolius tuberilinguis (tinker reed frog)
Lineage: Eukaryota; Metazoa; Chordata; Amphibia; Anura; Hyperoliidae
Description: partial 16S ribosomal RNA
Rfam family: Bacterial large subunit ribosomal RNA
Source: RNAcentral
GCAAAACAUUAUUUAAGUCUGUACUCCCGAAACUAAGUGAGCUACUUCAAAAUAGCUUUCUGAGCCAACUCGUCUCUGUCGCAAAAGAGUGAGAAAAUUUUUUAGUAGAGGUGACAAGCCUACCGAACUUAGAGAUAGCUGGUUUUUUGAGAAAAGAAUAUAAGUUCUGCCUUAAAAAUACUUAUGAACUCAUAMCACAMCAUAAUUUUUAARAGUUAUUCAAAUAGGGUMCAGCCUAUUUGAAACAGGAAAUAACCUAAAAGAUUGGGUAAUUGACCUAAUAAUAUUAAAGUUGACCUAAAAGCAGCCACCUUUAAAAAAGCGUCAAAGCUUAAAUAUAUUAUAMCAAAAUUUAUUAAUAAUUAUAUAACCCACCACCUUUAUCAAAAAAUUUUUAUACUAA